GGUGAGGUGGCCGAGAGGUUGAAGGCGCUCCCCUGCUAAGGGAGUGUACAGAAAAACUGUACCGAGGGUUCAAAUCCCUCUCUCACCG
RNAcentral lists this transfer RNA (88 nucleotides) under Sodalis sp. CWE. Its description in RNAcentral is "tRNA-Ser". It matches the Rfam family "tRNA". From Rfam's summary of the family: Transfer RNA (tRNA) molecules are approximately 80 nucleotides in length. Their secondary structure includes four short double-helical elements and three loops (D, anti-codon, and T loops). Lineage: Bacteria; Pseudomonadati; Pseudomonadota; Gammaproteobacteria; Enterobacterales; Bruguierivoracaceae. The record is from RNAcentral.